RNAcentral lists this long non-coding RNA (32876 nucleotides) under Nicotiana tabacum (common tobacco). RNAcentral's name for it is "long non-coding RNA (NTAB_LNC006669)". The record is from RNAcentral. Lineage: Eukaryota; Viridiplantae; Streptophyta; Magnoliopsida; Solanales; Solanaceae.
AAAUAUAUUUCGUAACGGAGUUAAGCCUAUUAGCUCCUGUUGAGAUGGUAAUUUUUGAGCGCUUUCUUCCUACUAAAAAAGUUGAAGAAUCUUAACCAGAUUUGUCUAGCUUGUUUAUUUCAUGAGACUUCUCAGCUAAUAAAUUUAUCAAACUAGUAACAAUAUAGUAUAAUAAAAGAAUGAUUAUCCAACUUUACACGUCUCUCUUGAGAAAUCCACAGUAGAGCACUCUAGUACUUUCACUCUUAUAUAGUUUAAAAAGAUUAUCGUUUUUAAGUCAGAGAAAGAGAGUUAACGAGCCAGAUGGAACAAAGUGGAACUAGGGGCAUUCGUCGGUCGGUACGGUAUUUAAAUACUUCAGUUCGGUAUUCAAUUUUUUAAAAUAUUAUACCAAUACCGUACCUAAUUAAAUUCGGUAUGGUUCGAUUUUUCUCCUUUCGGUUUCAGUUUAUUCGGUUUGAAUACUAACAAGUGCAUAAAGUCAUAGAUUAUAAUAUUCUUAAUUAAAGUACUCAAAAGUACAAAACUAAAAACGUUUAUUGACAAAAGUUUUGUUUAAAACCAGCAAAUAUCAACCUAAAGAGAGAAAACUGCACAUAAAGAAAUAAAUUUGAUCAUUAGAAAUGUUUCUUAUUUGCUUAGAGUUAAUUGAUGAACUUAGAGAAUAAAAGAAAGUAAAAUUUUAGUUUUUUUAUAUUUAUGUUAUAAUUAAUAAUAUGUGUUUUGUGUAAUAUAAUAUAUAUUUCGGUACGAUAUCGGUAUUUCGGUAUUUCAUUAUAAAAUACCAAAUAUCAUACCUAAUACCAUAUUUUUUUUAAAACUUAAAUCAAAUACCAUACCGAAUACCAAAAUAUCGAAUACCAAAUACCAAAAAUUUUGGUUUCGGUACGGUAAUUCAAUAUUUGCCAAAUUAUGCUUAGCCAAUGCUUUGUGCAUCGUAUGCGGUUUCCAGGAAAGCAAACAGUUAGAAAUUUGGGACAAAAUGCAUUGCAUUUGAUGAAACCACAAAUAAAGGUGAAUAUCCCUGUACACACUUGAUCCCUAAAGGAAAAGGGGAAGUAAACUCGGAAAUCUACUACUACUACUACUACUGUAUUUUUAAUACAAGUUACAAGUAAUUUUCUCCGUGCAUGGUAUCAACGGUACAUUUUUUCACCUUUCAGUUACGUUGUGUCCUGCCUCUCCUACCACCAAAACGGCCACCGCCCCUGUGAUUCCCUCUCCGACCACCACCAGAAUGAGUGCCUUGAUUGAAGUUAGGAGAGCCAUUAAUAUAAGCGCCUGGACCUGCAGCAUUUGGUUGUGAAUUGUUGUUCUGUACCAUUUGUGGUCCAUUCACUGGUACCUGACCUCCCAAAAUCAAUGGCGUAGGAGUCAUUUGACCCAUUGACAGUUGUGGUUGAUUAAAAACAUUUUGUCCUAACGCAGGCCAAGGUAGAAAUGAUGGCCCCGCACCAAAAUUUGGUUGCCCGCCUGGGAAGAUAAAGGGAGAUGGAUGAGUUGGAUUCAUUUGCUGCUCAAAAGGUACUGCAUUCGGCGAAGGCAUUGGAAACAUUUGCUGUUGAUGAAUCUGUUGUGGCCAUGGCAUGCCAAUAGUCGGCAGUGCAUUAGGAAAGCUCAUAUUCUGUGGCUGCUGAUAUGGGAUUCCAUUUGUCCAAACUCCAGUCGACGGUGCAGCUUGACCAGGGGCUUUUUCCAUAGGAGGGAAUAGAGAGACGGACGGAGGCCUACUACUCUGUCCAUGUCCAUGAAACGAGGAGUUUGGAUAAACGCCUUGAUCCAGCGAACCAGCAGCAGUUGAGAUAAAAUGUUGACUUUGGUCGAAUGGUGGCCUAGCAUUUUCACGUUGCACAUCUGCGGCCGCAGAUUCAUUGUGUUUCCAGUUCUGAGAUUUAUUUUUGGGUUUCCUUUUGUCCUUGUUGUUUCCUGGUUUCUGGUCAUUUGUGGCACCCCUCUUUUUCAUUUUCAGCAUUCUCUUGUACUCAGCCUCCUUCUCAUCAUCUGAAAAUUCUUCGGCCUCUGACACCUCUUCAUCAUUUUCACCAGAUGCAUCAUACCCUUUCUUGUAAAGACUGUUGUCAUUUAGGACGAGUUCGGAAAAUUCAGGGACAAAAGAGAUCAAGGUGCCCGGGUUGAUUCCAGUUGGGACUUCGUUAUCAGAAUUGUAUCUUACAAUGUAGUACGGGUUCUUGACAGGCCCAAAAAUUUCAUCCACUAUACCUAGUGGAGAUCUGCUUUCUGUUAUCCAGAGAAUAGAACCGUCGUAAAGAGGAGUAUGCUUCUCCACCCCUUCUACUACAACUUGGGCUCCAAUGAUCUGUCAACCCAUAUAUAGAUAAUAAAGUUGAAUAAAACAGAAGCAAAAAACUAAAGAUCAGAUUGCGUUGUUUGCUUUUUAGCUUUUUAGUCUUACCGAUGAUACAACUCCUACAGGCAGCAUCUGGUGAUGUGGUUGUAAGGUUACAGUCACUGCCGGAACUGGGGGUAGAGCCUGCAAUAGCAAGAAGACUGAAUAUUGUGCAUGUUGAAAUAAAACACGAAACGCAAAUCCAUAACAUCACUUCUCACCAUAGAGUAAUACAACAGAGUUCAAGUAACAGCAUAAAAUGUUAGCUAAGCAACCAGAUCAUUAAAAUGAAGUUGGCUUGAAUGCAAGUCAGAGUUCCAUGAAGAGAAGAAACUUGAUUUGUUUGUUACAUUUUCUGAAAUGUCGAUUAAUCUCAAACUGGGAUUGAUCAAGAUGUCCUUCUAACGAUAAGUUGACAAGCAUAAAGCAGAAACAAGACCGUCUUUUUUCUUCUUCAAAACUAAGUUCUUCCAUUCUCUAAACUAGUUUACAUUUUCUCAGUCUUCCAAAAAUCAAACCAGACUCGUGAAAAUUGGAGGUGGAGUUUAAACCAGAAAAAUAUAAAAUACUGAACAAGUUGAAGUACGAGACAACAUUCUAUAUAGAUAACCUCACAACAACAAUUUAUUUUUGAGCUUAAGCUGGAUUCUUUUUUUACACCUAAUCCAUAAUGAAUAUUGCCACUUCCCUACCGACAUUGUUUCUCCUGUAGUAUAAGGCUUUCACGACAAGUUUGAGGCAUCGCUUAUUGUUUCCCAACCCAGUUCUACUAAAGAUAUUUUGUGCUGUAAGCACUUUUCUUUUCACAUAAUAAUUACCUGAUUAGCUCUUCUAUUAUCCUUAGUUCCUUAGUUCUACUAAAGAUAUUUUGUGCUGUAAGCACUUUUCUUUUCACAUAAUAAUUACCUGAUUAGCUCUUCUAUUAUCCUUAGUUCCUUGCAAAUACAGAAACAUGCUCGUGUAGUCAUGUUCACAUCAACCAUAUCAAACCGUGGAUCAUGCUGAAAGGAAGACCUAUUUCGAUGAUAACCCCUGGAGGUCAGCCAAAACUUAUUUUUCUUUAUAGAGAACGAAAAUGAUAAAAAAAAAUGUAAUGGCGUUUGGAGGCGAAUUUGUGAAUGAAAGAGUCAAAGUGGGUAGCUUCUAGAAAGCAAAAAUUGGCUCAAAUAGAGGAACAAAGAUUACUUUCAGAAGGAAAAAAACCCACUUAGAACUGCAACAAAUCCGUACUAUGAUGCCAUUUUUCCUUUGCUGUUUAAGGCUUUAGAUUGGUAGGGCACCCCACAGAAAACCUGUAGGUAUUUCAGAGCUAUUCUUCUAAAGCUCUCCCCUAUUUAGCAAACCAAAGCCCGAAUUUGAAUUCCAACAAUUUUAAAAAAAAAAUUAAGAGACGUCAUUAUAGGAAAAUGAAGAAGAACCGAUCUGAAUUUUUUGGAACGACAAUCAGGAUAAUUACGGUGUUAGCUUUGCGUCAGCCAAAACUUACUUUCAAGUGUUCGCCACUUUAUCUAUGGGUAUGACCAAUAACCAGGACUUUGGAUCCAUAAUCAGGGAGAUAGAUGAACUCCACAUCCCAGUAAGUUCCGGUGUUACAUAUUUAGACUACGCAUACGCUAAUACAAAAUGAAUAUCAAGUUAUCAAUCAAAUGCUAUCAGAUUUGCAAUUUUAGAUAUAUACAGAAGUCAGCAAUUCUGGCUUCAAGUCUAUAACAAUGAUCAAAGAUUUGGGUUCCAGAAUUGGCUAUACUAAGGGCAGUCAUCUUUUACUCGAAAAAGCCUGUUCAUCUUUCAUUGACAUGGUUGCUCUUCAAAUAAAUAAUGUAUAAUUGCCUAUUUUAAUAUUCAUGCUUUACCGGCAUCUAUUAGAGCAUCAUCUCUUGUAGAAGUUCAAAUUCAAAGGGGUGCCUUUUCUUUACUAUUUAGCAGAAAUUUAGACAUUUUUCCAUUACAUUCCAUAAGGCACAGAAGCAUCAAGCACUUAGAAGUAUCGUUUCAAUAGCAAAUCAGAUGCAUUAGCAACUACCUAUGAAAUGAUAAAUUAUUACCUGAACCUCAUUCUUAGACCUGAUCGGCCCCUUAACACCAGUGUCAUCAUCUUCAUUCCAAGCAACCAUCUCAUCGGGAUCAGACACUUGAAUCUCACCUUCUUCCAUAUCCACCUCCCCUUCUUCUUCCUCGCUCGAGCUACUCUCGCCAUCACUACUAGAGGCUGAAGAAGAGGCUGAGCUCUCACUUUCAGACUCGGUAUCACUACUACUCCCGUCUUCACCCCCUUUUAACUUGUCACCAUUCAUUGUACUUCCAUUAACACGUGUCUCAUCAACACUUCUUUCCUCAGUCCUACUACUGAUGGCAACUUCAUCACUCUCCUCAUUCUUGCUAACGACAGCCGCCACACUAUCACUGACAAUGCUACAAUUGCCAAUAUCAGCUUCAGCAAUAUUCACCCUAUUGCCAUCUUGGUCAACAAUUCUUUCAUCCUCUGUCGCAUUUAUACUAACUUUCCCAAUCCCUUCCUCAACUAUACAACCCAAGUUCCCCACUUCUACGCAUUCACUCUUUUCCACCUUCAAACAACUCAAAGAAUCCAACUUUACAGAAACCUCCUUUUGAAUUUCAGAUUUUUCAGAAAUUUCACAGGUACCCAAUUCAUUAUUCUUAUCCAUAGUGCUAAACUCAACUUGUUCAGAACCAAACUCAGCUGCUUCUUGUUUAACUUCAGCCAUAGAGCUAUCCAAGAUUAAAUCUUUGAUUGAAUCAAAAUCAGCAGAAGUCAAAAAAGAGUCGUCAAAAUCAGGAACAGAUAGGCUAAAGGGGUCGUUUUGUUUGUUAAGCUCUGAAAAGGGUUGAAUUUUUUCUUCUUCUUCAACCUCUUCACUUGUGGGAUUGUAUAUAAAACCCACCAUGUUCAAGUAACGAAAUUUGGAUUUUCAAAAUCUUUGACAUGGUUGCUGUAAUAGGAAAGAUACUGACUUUUAUAAACGUAUCCAAAGAGUGAUGUGCGGAUUUUGAGGCUUUUGUUGAGCAAGCGAAAGCAUCUUAAACCCUAGGGUUUAACAGAGUAAUUUAGAAGGUCUAAGAAAUUGGAAAAAACGAAAAGGGAAAUCAACCGGGCUAGGGUUUGGGCUUGUAAGCUCUUCGAUUAUGGGCCUUUUUCUUCAUUUGUCCAUUCUCAACAAGGCAACUUUAGGAGAGGGACCAGCCCAACUAGCCCAAUACGUGGAUCCAUGAUUUUAUGGUUGACCAAAAUAGUCACUCAUCCAACCGCUAAAACUAACUAAAAAUAGCCCAAAAAAUAUAUAUAAAUAUGUAUAAUCUAUGUGUAAUACGCGUAUAAUUAUGUAUAAUUUAUGUAUAUCAAUUAAAAAAAACAAUGAAUGCAGUCGGCUAUUUAUGUAAAGGAAAGAUAGUCGAAAAGCAUAUGAAAAUAGUGAGGGAAUAUCUUAUAUAAAAAUACAGACAAACAAAAGAAAUAAAUAUCACAAAGGUCUUAUAUAAUUAUCCUAAAUUACUGAAGGGGGAGGUUACAAUCAGAGUUUGGUAAGGACGACGAAUUAUUAGCAAAAAUUAAUAAAAAUAAUUAGACCACUCUAGUACAUUGAGGGAAUGGAUUCGCACUAAAGUUAUCUUUGGAUCCUAAUUUGUUUAGAAAGAUCAUUUGAGAGACAGUAAAGGGUACUGAUGGUGUAUGGUAGAGACAAAGUCACAUUAUAGUAUGGAGUAGAUUGAAUUUUUGAAAUAUUUAAGUGGUCCUAAGUGUAAUAAACCCUUAUGCCAUUUUAUCAACAUGUUCGUGUUGAGAGAUUAAGAUUGCAUUAAUUAGUUGAAAAUGACAUGUGCGAUCAAUUAUAGUCCCAUGAUUUAGGAAGGGGACUCAAGCACUAGCUAGUUUCUUAGUUAUCUUUGUGGAGGAAAUAAUCCCUACUUCUUUUAAGUAAUGGAGUGCUUAAACUAAAAUGUCAUUAACACCUACCAAACUAAAUAAAAUUGAAUAUCAUCAACACCUAAGGUUUAGGAACAUACUGCUCUUGUUUGAAUUGUCAAGUGUUGUUUUGUACAAUAUCGAUUAUCGUGUGUCUGAAAAGUCAAGCUAGCAAUUACAUAACAGUUAGGCCAAAAUGUAGGCUCAAUUAUACUCUCAUAAUGAAGCAACAUUUUCUAUAAGUUGUGGGUUCGGAUGAUCACCAAUGAUUUCAGAAGAAGGAUUUUCAAAAAAAAAAACGUUGAAAAGCAGAAUCUUUUGGAUGAAAAAGUGCCUUGAAGUUGAGGCAAUUUUUGAAUAUCAUAGCUCACAUCACAAUCUUAACCUACAACUAUAUAAAUAGUAUUUCAAUUUGCACAAUUGUUUUCUCCAUUUUUAUAAAACUUUAAUGUUAUAUACACUACUAUUGUAAAAUAUUAUAAAAAUUGUACAGGGCGCCCUAUUUGGUCGCUCUCAUUUAACCUAUACCCAUAUUUUUAAAAUUCUUUAACUUAUAUCCUAAUUUUGACAACUUCAGACGCCUCCUCUUCUUCCUCCUCACCUAUGCGCUCCUUUCUUCCUCCUCUUCUUUUUUUUUUCUUUUCUCUCUCAAAUACAUGAGACUUUGUAUAAGUAUUAUUGAUUGGAUCUGUAAAGUUUUUAUUAAAUCUUAUCAACUACCAUAUUCUAUGUUGAAGGACAAGUAAAUAAAACUCCACAAGCUGGUUAAAGUAGGUGUGAUUUGUGUCUUUCCCUGGUCCAUCCUUCUUAAACAUACAACAACAACUUACUACUACAUGUCCUCUCUUCCAAGUUACCUGCCACAAGAAUGGUACAUGCAUGUAAAAUUUAUUAUACACAAUAGUUGUUCUUGCGAUCUCUUGGAAUUAGCUUACCCCUUGCUUUAUGAUAUUAUCUGCAGGAAAAACGACAGAAAAGGGUUGCAGAACUGAAAAAUAAAAGAUAGGAAAAAUAAUUUCAGAACAUUAUCAAAAAAAUCAGUUAAAACUUCAGCACAAUUUGGCUUAAGUUAUAUUUUAAAGCCAUCUAACUUCAAAGAAAGGCAGAACACAACUUCAGUUCUAAGACUGCUGAAAUUUAGCAAAUAUAAAAUAAAAACUUCAGCUUCUAGAAUGCUCAAGUUCACCAAAUACAAAACAAAACUUCAGCUCCUAGAAUGCUGAAGUUCAGCAAUUACAAAACAAAACUCCAGCUCCUAGAAUGCUGAAGUUCAACAAUUACAAAAUAAAAUUUCAGCUCCUAGAAUGCUGAAGUUCAGCAAUUAUAAAACAAAAUUUCAAUUCCUAGAAUGUUAAAGUUCAGUAAUUACAAAACAAAAACUUCAGCCAAAAUAUGUUAUAGUUUUAUUGAACUGAAGUUUGUCAUUGCACUAUGAACUGAAGUUUGCGUGAUUGCCUUUGCAAGUCAGGCCAAAUUUCAGGCAAAAAUAUCUGAAAUUUUGCUUUGAUAAGGCUACACUUCAGGUAAAACAUUCCGAAGUUCAAACUUCAGACAUAAAUUUUUGCUACUUUAGGCUCGUAUGUCGGAAGUUACCCGAAAAGUGAGUACGCUUGCAAUAUUUUUUGCAAAGUGGGUAUAAGUUAAAAUGUGACCCAAAAACUAAGUAUAGAUGCAAAUCUCCCUAAAAUAUUCGUACAAUCAUAUUAGUAUGUAUAAGCAUUAAUUAGAAAUAACAUAAGUGUGAUAACUAACUUAUCAGAUAUAAGAGAUUAAACUACACGGACAAUGCAAAUACGCAAUCAGAAUAUAUAGUUUAAAUCUUUUUUGUAAAUAUAUAGUUUUUUCACACGGCAUAAUGUACAACAAAAUUCUGAUUACACAGGAAACAGUGUGCUUUGAACCAAUCAUAGCCACAGUUACGUUGGAUCACAGUCCACAGAAUACAGUUAAAUGACAGUGGAGAGUAGACAAGUUGGUAUUUUAGAGUGAAUUAAUUUGUUGACUAAAAGCUCUUUUUUAAUCUCCUUUGGUCCAGUUCUUAUGAAGCCUUUAAAUGCCCACCGUGUUUCUUCCUCUUAUGUAUUUAUUUAUUACUCUUCUUUGUUUGGCAUGAGAAGAUCCAUCAUUUUAUAUCUCACACAGGAAAUAUAUAAAUUUUAUAUUAUACAUAACAAAGUCAAAACACUCUACACGUAAUUGGUUGCAUGUAAUAAUUGAAGAAAAAUGGCAACCCACACUCCACAAUCAUCUCACAGGAUAUAUAACAGGUCUGCCAAAAAGUUAAAAAAUAAAUAAAAUAAAGGGUCGAUUGUAAAUGAAGGAAAGGUCAAGGAAAACUACAGAAUAACAUCAUCAAAAUAUCAUAAUUCCUUUCUUAAUUAUGUGUUAUUUCUACACUAACUAACUCUUUAUAUACGAUAUAGAGUCUCCACUUUAUGUGUAUUUUUUAAAAAAAGGUCUCCGCUUCAUGUUGAAAACUCAUUCAAAUAGCUAUAGCAUGAGUGUUGAAAGACUUCAAUUCGAUUAUAUCGUUACAUUUUUUGGUUCCUGCUUAGGGCCAGAGGCGGAUUCAAAAUUUAAAGGUUGCGGGUGCCACUAUUUUAUACAUAUAAUAUACCUACUAUUGGUCGAUUCGGUUAGUGUUUGAUUAAUUCGAAUUAGGUCUUUCACUCAUAAAGUAAAUUCAAAUAUAUUAUAAAAAAAUUACAAAUAAAAUUUUAUGAAAGAGCGCCUCUAACUAAAAAAUUUGCUUAAAGAGUAGUUUAAUUACUACAUAUUCUUAGUUUGACUAAAUUAAUUUACCUUUAUUAUUCUUGAGUUAAUAUUUUCAUAUUAAUUGUCAUGUUAUAAGACAAUUAUUUUCAAAGAAAAACCUUUAACGUUUAAUCUAUGAUAAUAAACUCAAAACAACUAUUGAUCAAGUCAGUUUAUUUUUUUUUAAAUCCAAUAAAAAAUAUUGUUCAAAUUAUACUCCAAUAUAUAAAUUAAUUUCGUGUCAUUAAGAAGAGAGAUUAUAUGUUAAAGUAAAAUCAAUCUAAAUUGCCUAUCAAAAAAAGUUGCUAACGAACUAAGGUAUGAUGAUAGAAAUAGAGAGUUGUAUAAAGAAAUUUAAAAAAUGAAGAAGACAUAUUAGAAAAUAAAAAGGAAGAAAGGGAGGACAAGAAAGUGAAGGAAAAAAAGGAAGAAGAGGUGGGCCCUAGAGCUAAAUAAACUAAGAAUAAACAAAUCUUAAUAAGUAGAAUAAAAGGUAAAAGCAAAGAUGAGGCUAUAGUAGGAUUGGAACUCUUAUCCAUGAGGCUAGUGGCACCCGAAACUACUUAGUAAUUUCUGAGUGCUACUCUACUAAUAUAAUCGUUUUCUCACAGCUAUCUUACACACAUACACAUAGUAAAACUUUUACGGAAGCGAACGGGUGUCGUGGCACCCAUAGCUCAUAAGGUAGAUCCGCCCCUGCUUAGGGCCAGCGUUCACUUCGGUUUCACUUUCGUAUCAGAAACGUCCACUUGCAGUUGAAAUAUCAUAUUUAACUUUUCAACAAUUCAUAGGCUCAUUUGAAAUAUAAACUACAGAUUAUUGGCAAGAUUGGAAUUUUCAAUGAUAUAUAUACAAUGACAUAUAAUCGUUUUCUAUAUAAUAGAUUUCAUGAAUGGAGUUGAUAAAUUGUCAUCCACAUGUACGUUGGAGAAAUAAAGAUUUCAUUAAGUUGAAAAAGACUUAAUGAUCAAUUAUAAUGACAUGAUAUGGAAAAAGGACUUGCACUCAUUUACGAAAUAUUAAUUGAAUUUGUACACCACACACUGUAUUAGGAUGUCCACACUUUCCUAUUUUGAAGGAUGAGGUGUAAUUUAAUUUGGCCCUACGUGAAAGUGAUCUAAAGUACAUGGACUCCUUAAAAUAGAAAAUUUUCAAUAUUAAUAAUAGUUUAUUAGCAAGAGACUAUACUUGAUGGAAACUAAUAUCGUCACUUGUCAAGUGUUGUUUGGCCUGAAAAGGCAAAUAAUCAGACAAUGGUUUGGUCUUAGGUUCAAUUAUAUUGUCAUUAUGAAGCCAAAAUUUUCUGUUGGAGAAAUGGGGGUUGGGGUUAUUACCAUUAAUUAAAUAUUACUUAUAACACCUUUUAAAAAAUCUUCAUGAUUACUUACCAAUAUAAUGACUGCUUUGAAUUAACCCAUUCAAGAUUUACUUCAGAUCAUAGUCCACUGAAUGCAGUUAUUGAUAUUGGUUCGAUCAGAGGAUACUUAAAUAUUAGAACAGUGGACAUGUUGAGAUUUAUAAAGGAACUUGUUGACUAUAUAGAAAGUUAGAAGCUCCUACUUUUAAUUUAUUCUUCUUUUUUAACAUGAUCAGAGAUAGCUGACACAGAAGAUAUAAAUAUUUUAUACACAAAAUCAAAACACUCUUCACGCGGAUGAACUGCAUGUAGCAUAGAGAAAGAUGGCAACCCAUCACUCCAUACUAAUCACAUUCACGAUUGCUGACCCAAAAUUUGAAGUUUAUGAGUUUUGAACUUACCACUCAAUUCAUACACUUAUUUUAGUUAUUGAGUUCACAAUUAAAUAUUUAUACAUAUUUAAUAAAUUUUAUGAUACAAAUAGAGGGUCUAAGCAAAUAGUGGACUAGAAUUCUCAAUGAAGGCAAAGGUAUAAAACUUAAUCAAGAUGACACAAAUUGAUUAGUUAUAACUAUAAUUUAGACAAAUAUUAAAAAAUUACAUCCAGCUCUAAAAUAUAUCCUUUAUUAUAUAUGUGGUUGAUAAAUGCUUAUUCUAUAUCGUGUAAUUAUAUUUGGAAACUAAUUAGUAGCAAUAUUAGUAUUAAACUGUAACGACCCGACCAAUCGUUUUGAGCUCUAGCAUAUUGUUUGGCGGUUUGACACCUUGAGUAGCUGCACUUCAUAUUUUAUGACUUGUACGCGUAGUCGGAAUUGAAUUUCGGGAAGUUCACGGUUGAUUCGGAAGAAAAAUUCUCAAUUCGAAAGCUUUAAGUUGGAAGAGUUGACCAAGGUUUGACUUUUGAUUAAACGAUCACGGAAUCGGGAUUUGAAGGUUCCAAAAGGUUCGUAUGAUGAUUUGGACUUAGACGUAUGUUCGGGUUGAGUAUCAUGUGGUCCGGGAGCAUUUCAGCGCUUAUUGUAGAAAGUUGGCAUUUUGAUGGUUUUUAGAAUUUCUUAAGUUUGGUUUGAAGAGGACUUUGGUGUUAUCGAUAUCCAUUUGAGAUUUCGAGCUAUGGAAUAGGUUCGUAUUUUAAUUGUGACUUGUAUGUAAAGUUUGGCGUCAUUCCGGAAUGUCUAGAUAUGGUUCGAACACGUUCGUCGAAGUUUGAAUGUUUGAAAGUUGAAAGAAUGAUUUUAUCAUCGAUUCAUAGUUUUGACGUUGUUUGAUGUGAUUUGAGACUUCGACUAAGUACGUAUCAUAUUUUAGAAUGCGUUGGUAUGGUUGGGUGGGGUCCCAGGGGCCUCGGGUGUAUUUCGGACGUGUAUGAGUUGUGUCACGCUCUUAUUUGAUGUUUCAGUAUCGUUUUUCUGGGCAUAAAGGGUACUAUAUUGAGAAAACGACCUUUGAUUUAUCAUUAGGUUGAACCAUUGGACCCGUAUCAUAAUUACGGAAUCAUAGCAAUAAGAAUCGUCGAAUUCCGAGGUCGGAUGAGAGAGUUAUGCCCAUUUCCGUGUCGGAAAAGAUUGUUAGUUUCUAGUGCUAACUUUUGUUCUUCGCGAAUGCGAAGAAGGAUUUAUGGGUUGAUCGUCAAUGCGAAAAUUCUCUUCGCGAACGCGAAGGUGAUGAAAAAAAAUCAUCUGCGCAGUGUUUUAAACCGAGCAUAUUAGUAUUUUGAGCAUAUCUUGAGUUCUAAAGCUCCAUUUGAGGUGAUUUUCGUGGCAUUGUUCUCGUCUCAAUAAGGGGGUAAAUAUCUUCCCUUUAUGUUAAUAUUUUUUCAUGAUUAUUUUCGUUGAUUAUUAUUUUUAUUCGUGUUUGGAUGGUAGAAAUUGGGGUUUUGAGCCCCAAAGUUGCAAUUGAGAAAUGGUAAAUCCUUAAUUUCAGGGUCAAUUCGUGGAUAAAAUUAGAUUAUUUUUUGGAUAUAUACUAUAUAAGUUAAGAGUAAUAUUUAUUUUUGAUAUUAUUUAGAAUCCGGGCACGUGGGCCCGGGCGUUGGCCUUGUUGACUUUUCGCGCAGAGUUGGGAAUUGUUACGAAUUGUUAAAUUACGAGUAUUGGAGUAUAUUUUGAUUGGUUUGCACGUUGUUUGAUUCGUUUAGGAUCGUUUGCCAUCGGUUUGAGGAGUUAGAGAGGCAUUGGAGUUGGUUAAUAGAUUUCAGAGCGAGGUAAGUCUCCUGUCUAGCCUUGUAAGGGAAAAUUUACCCUGUAGGUAUUAUACUUGCUAUGUGCUUCAUGUUGUGGGGGAUACACACGUAUGAGGUGACGAUUGUCCGUGCGUAUGCUAGAAUUCAUGAUUAGGUUCGGGUAGACUUAGACUUACGCCAUGCUUUAAUUAUAAUAUUUGAGUUAUUCCUGAAUGUUUAAUUGCUUUAAUUUGCAUUUAGCCUGAGACUAGACUCGCGUAGAAUAUCAGACUUGAUAUUUUAGAUAUUUGACGAGCUACUUGAUUAGCCGUGAAAAAUUGUGCUUCCCUUACGAAUUUCAUCCGCGCUGUGCAUAUUCAUCGAAAAGUUUCCUUAAAUUUCAUAACUCACACAUAUAUUCGUGAGUGGGGUCAAGGACCCGUUAAAACUUCUUAUUCUAAUGGGAUCGGGUCGUUCGCCUCGGCGGGAUUAUUGUAAUACACUCUUAUGGGAUCGAAUCGUUCACCUCAGCAAGAUUAUGAUAUUUCACUCUUAUGGGAUCGGGCCAUUCGCCUCGGCAAUUCUAUGAAAUACUCCUAUGGGAUCGGGUCGCUCGCCUCGGCAGAAUCGUGUGAAAUACUUGAUAAAGAGUCCGCGUACUCAUAAGUUUUCCUGACUUGAGAUGGGACAGUUGACUUGGUGUUUACCAUUACGUAUUCUAUUUGAGGAGGUAUCCAGUGUUUGAAGACUUUAUGUUUACUGUUUAGCCGUAGACCGUAUUAUUUUCCUAUAUUUGUUCUCAUUGUUUACUUACCAUAUUUCAUACUUGUCUACUUUAUUAUGUUUGAUUUAUUGGACCACUAGUAAGUAUCAAUAUCGACCCCUCGUCACUACUUCUUUGGGGUUAGGCUAGAUACUUACUGGAUAUACGUUGAUUUACGUACUCAUGAUAUACUUCUGCACUAAAUGUGCAGGAUGUAACAGGAUCAUUUAGUGGUCAUCUUGGCGCAUAGGUGCAACUAUUGAAGGGACUUUAUGGUGAGUUGCUUUCUAUGCUACGUACCGCAAUCCACAGAGUCUCCAUUAUAUUUAUUUACUUUAUCUUGUCCAUUUUACACUCCAGACAGAUGUUGUACUAUAAUUGUACUCCUUAGAAAACGUUCAUGUACUUGUGACACCGGGUUUUGGGAUAUUCUAGUUAAUGUUUAUCGAUUUCCAUAUUAUCAUAUUUUAUUUUCAUAUCUUGCUAACUAUUUAUGUACCUAUAAUUUUAAUGUGUAAAUCCAUUUACUUAAUAAAACUUAUGAUUUCAAAGUAAUAUAAUGAAUAAUUAUUUAGAUGGUUUACCGUUAGUUUGCCUAACAACGACGUUGGGCGCCAUCACGACCUAUAGUGGGUUUUGGGUCGUGACAGCUUGGUAUCAGAGCGCUAGGUUCACUUAGGUCUCACGAGUGAUGAGAAAGUCGAGUAGAGUCUUGCAAAUCGGUACGGAGACAUCUGUACUUAUCUUCGAGAGGCUACAGGGUUGUUAGGAUAACUUCCCUUAUUGAUUCCUCGUCGUGCGGUUUGAUUCCAUUGAAGCUUAUGCCUUCAUUUCCUUUCUACUCAUUCUUAUAUGAUGUUGAGCGCUUGUUAUAAAUUGGGCAUCGAGGAGUUGUAGUGGUACUGUAGAUAUGGUAUAUGAUAUUUCUCCAUGCGUAUUUGAGGAUGCUCUGUCGUUUCAGCCCAAUGCUAGUGUUGCCUAUGGUUUCGAGGCUAUCCACAGUGUAUUAUAAGGUUCAUGUGUUGUUAUCGCACAGUGUUGGUAUAAAUUAUAGGGUGCUUAUUUAUGUGUCACGGCAGUGAAUGACUCGAAAGGAGGAUUUCUCGGUUCAUGGUUUAGAUGUUCGACAUUUAAUUCCAGCGAAGGAAAGGCAAUUGGACUAUGGAUGAUGAGGCAUUGGUUGACGGAGUAGCAAGACUUGAUAUUUUCAAACUUGGUAGCAUUCUCAUUUGUGAUGUGGUGUCGUCGUCCUUGUAGGAACGCAUUAAGGCUCAUCGGUGUUAUGGUCUCCUUUGAUUUAUCUUCAGGGCAGGAAGUUGUGGAAUGGUGCCUAAGAAGAAGUUAUCAAAGAUGGAUAUGUAUUGCGACUUCAGGAUCGAAUCGGCGUUUCCAGUGUUGAUGGUUCAAGGGAGAUGAUCCCUGAGGUGUUUUCUGUACUUAAGAAGUUCGAAUGUGACGAGAAGGGGCUUGAUCGAAAUGUAGGAAAAUGUGAAUAUUUGAUCGUCAUUAUGGGAUGUAGUAUGGCCCUGAGUUUUAAACAUAUUAUUGGACCUCCAUUGAUGCUAAUGGGGUGAACGGACUUUUGUAGUUGGCGGAUGAAUGUGGACCUAGGAGAAUCAACUGAUUUCAUAAUGGAUGUGGUUAUGGCUAUGUAGCUUGAGGAUGUCGGUAUGAGGUUACACAUGCGGGCUAUCUCCUGUGAGAAGGUUAGGGGUUGCAUGACUCCUAAUGAAUUCCUAUAAAGAGUUUUGCCUUCUAUACAAUAUAAUUCAUGUAUUGCGAUGUGAUCAUCGCUUGAAAAAGAUGGUACAACUGUUAGGAGGCCGAGUGUGCGAUUAUGGAUGAUAAUUCGGGAUGUGUUAUGUUUAGUACAACCAAGAACUUAUGAGAAAUUUGGUUGAGCAACGGUGUGAGAUCAUGGUAACUAAGGGGGAGGAGUCAUUGUGGGUUCUGGAUUUAUGUAAUUAUGGCUUAAAGCUAAGUGGGGGAGCCUACCAUCUAUGAUUGGGUCACAUGGUUAUGUGCCUUGCAGUUUCGGGCUAUCGGUACAUUGGUGGCUUAGUUAUCACUAAGGGAAGAAAACAUCAAGGUAAUUCGGGCAUAGGACUUGAUGAAUGCGUGCUACAUUUCGCCUUAUCAAUUCAUGUAUAGAUUUUGGGAUGACUCAAAGUUUAUGCCUCUUGUGGAUAUGAUGUACAAGGAAAAGAAUUCGUCUGGUUGAUUCUUUGGGAGUAAUUAUGUGCUAACAAAGCACUAGAGUUUGCUUAUAUUCGGGACCAGGUCAGAGCGGGUGACUCACAAUAAUGGUUCUAGUGGAUUCAAUAUUUUAGGUGCGGUGCUUAAGGAUUUUUAGGUUUGUUAUGUAGCUGAGGAUUGGGUUAGGGAGUAAAGUGUGAAGGGUACUUGGAGUAUUUCUAUGUUAUCAAUGGGUCUGCAGUGCAAUUUUAGAAAAAAAUGGGAGAAACAACUUCAGAUUCACAAAAGAUCUAAUCAGCUCAUGUGUAUCAGUUAGAGUUACUAUAGACCACAUGCGGAGGAUAUGAAAUGGCUUAUGGGCAUUGACACAACAUGGUCUCGUGAUUUGGUUCACUCGGGAUGAGUGUUAUUGGAGGUCCGUAAUUUCUAAGGCAAGUCAAGAGAAAAUUGGAAGAGGUUGAGUGAGUUAGUCAUGGUUUGAAUCAGCAUAGUUGGGGAAAUAAUCAGUUCCUUCAGUGUGAUAAGGCUAUACAGGUAAUUCGUGGUUGUACGUGCGGGAUUGACAACUAUCGUGAUUUGAUUGAUUUGGAGGUAUUUGAUCCUGAUGGCUUGGUUAUAUGUAAAUGGAUCCCGAAAGAGUUAUGACAGUUUAGACCACGACUUGAGGUUUGCAUUUUCUAUGGUUAUGGGAAGUUGGUUGUGGGUGGCGGAUCUUCUUCUGAAAUGAGUUAAGUGAAAGGUUCUGAGCCGAUGAAGUGUUAAUCAUACUAAUGGUUUAGGGGUUAUGAUGGAAUUUUUGUAACCUCGCAUAGUGGCAUGUUUGGUGUAGUGAGCGGCAUGGAAAUUGGAAGUUGAGGAUCGAGGUUAUAGAUCAGUUUUGAUAAGGAUGUCACGAGCUCGGAGGAGCGGGGGAGGAUUUUAGAUGUUUGGAGUAUGCUGGCACUAUUUUCGGGUAGCCCGAGGAUGGUCUGUUUGUGGAAAAGGGGUUGGGUAUUGAAAUGCAGAUGCAUGGCUAGCACUAUAGAAGUAGUAUGGUCGAUGUCCAUUGAUGUUCAGAUUUUACUACCUGGUGUGGAAGGUUGUGGGAGUAUAUCCCAUGUGAAGAUCGUAUAAGUGUGAAGCGUUAGUCAUUUGAGUGUUAGAGAUUGAAAUCAGGUAUGGAGAUUCUGGUAUUGUCGCUAAUGGGAGAGUUUAUGCCUAAGAGGCGCUCUGUUCCUUUGGCUGUGGACUGUGUGAUUUUGUUCCGGAUUGGAUGACUGCUCGUAUGUGUCAUAAAUAGGGUCAUUGUGGGUCCUUAAAAGGUUAUUGGCCCAGUAUGGGAUGAUCGGAAUCGGCUUGAGGUCUGUUGGUAGGCCUAAUGUGAAUGUAUAUUUUAUACCAGAUCAGAUAUGUUUAUUCGUCAUAACAUCGCUUAUGGAUGGUCUUCAGGCGUGGUGGAUGAUAUUCCUGCCUUCGCCUAUUUCAAGUGCUACUCUUUAUGCUAUGUGGGUUAUGAGACAGCUUGAUUAUCCACACGUGUAUUAAGAUCAUGUAUAGCUUAUGGUGUUAUGUGAGCGAGAUGGCUCUCGAGAUGCAGGUCGUUUAUUGAUGUUACACCCCUUGUUUUUGUAUGUGAAAGUACGUCGUAAGUCAAUUGAUGUAAGCUCAGAAAUGAGAUCCUAUUUGAAAGUAUAUGAAGUGAUUUAAUGUUGUUUCAUCCCGUACUUCAGACGUCACUGUCGUUAUGAUAUUAUCUAAUGUAAGCUCAAAAAGCACGAAAUCCUUCUACAAGGAUAGAAAGGUUUACCGAAGUCUUAAGUAAUUUAAGAUGACUAAGAAACUUGUUAAUCAUAAUUUAAAUAAGUUUAAAGUCAUGAUAUGACUAUAUAUGAUGUUUGUAUAUAAAAUAUAAAGUUUGGAAAAAAUCGGAUUUAAGUUGCGGAAAAAUCGAGCUAAGAUUUGCCUUGUAAUGAGCCGUAUUGAGAAAUUAAAUUCGUAAACUUUAUAAUGUCAUUUUGGGACAUAUAUCACAUAAAAAUAAAGGUAUUUGAACCUAGUUUCCAACGGUCCAAACCAUUUAUUCAUACAAUAUCGGGGUAGAGAAAUAUGGAUUUUUAAAAUAGGAUCGCCAAGUCACGUCGCCGCACUUCGAAGAAACUGGCAGGUUUAUAGGCCAGGUUGCGAGGCCGUUUUCUCCCAAUAUAUUGAGAGUUACAGGGAGAUCUUUAUAUUUAAUUAAAGCCCCAUGUAUAUAGUUUCUAACGCUACAAAUCGUUCGUCAAUUCGAUAUCGGUAUAUAGGAAGCCCCUAUGGGACCCACUUGGUCGGGCCUCAACCUUCACUUAUUCUUAUCUCGUAUUUGGGAUGAACUUUGCUCAUUUUUCGUCCUCUUUAUAGCCGCACACUCUCCAAACCCUCCUAAACAGUUCCCCAAAGGCUCCAAAUAAAUUCCAAAGAAAUACACCAUAAUCAAACAUCAAAGUUAGCCUAAGUGAAGAAAAGAGUCGCUAUGGUACUGUGAUGUGAUUAAGGGUGCUUGUAAGCCAAGGGAAGCUUUGGUUUGAGGUUUUCCAGAUUAUUUAAGGUACGUAUAACACCCUAUUUUUCGGUAUUAAUCUUAUCUAUGUGUUGGUUAAGUUAUUUGGAUGAAGAUUACAAGAUAACACUUGAAAGGGGAAAAGAUGUUGUUAUCUUUUGUUGGGUUGUUUUNNNNNNNNNNNNNNNNNNNNNNNNNGGAAAAUGGUGAAAAUAACUAUAUUAUGAUAUGGUUUCUAUUGUUAUGCAUGUAUAUAUAUUGAUCAAGUGAAUUGAUGAAAGAAACAUAUGAAACUUGAGAUUGCAAGUGAAGAUUAGCUUAAGUCACUUCUAUGGUGUUGUAUUGACAUUGAGGGAUGUUAUAAGAUAAAUGUAACUUGGAUUUCGACGUGAAGCUACUGUAGGAGGUAUGUAUAUUGUGUUCUUGUAUGUGCUUAAGGUUAUCUUGAUAUUGAUUAAGUUAAAUGGAUGGAUUAGACAUGAACUAGUGAAUAAAGUUGCUAAUUGAGGAUAAUUGGAGCUGUGGAUUAUUUUUUUGUUAUAAAUAUAUGGUAUAAGGCUGAAAUAAUUGAUGAAUGACUUCAUUAUCAUGUUAAUAAUACUAUUAAGUUAAAGUAAAAAGUCUAUAAGGGGUGAUAUGGGGUAUACAGAUUCCAAUUGGAGCUUACCGCUCGUUGUGAAGUAGUUGUGGCUUGUUGUUGUUAUAUGGUGUCUUGUUAUUGAUAAUUAUAUAUUUCUAGAUUACUCUGGUCAUUGUUGUUCGUAUAUAGUAUUGGAUUAGGCUCUUGUUACAGGGGAGAUGCUGCCCAAAUUUAUAUAAACAAGCUACUAGUUUAAGUUACGGUCUUAGCCUUUACUCAAUACUGAUUUUGAAUCUCCUUAUGCUAUGGUAGAUUGAGUUGAGUUGUUUGAAGAAUUACUUUGAAGGUAUUAAGGACUCAAUGGAGUUAAGGUAUGUUAAGUCUAUACAUUCUUUCCUUUUGGCAUGAUCCAUAUGAUACGACGAAACGAGCAAGCACGCAGCUUUCACAAAUGAUUCUAUUCCUAGAAGUACUGGGGUUGCCUAUGUUCUUAAUUCCUCAUAUGUCCUACUAUCAUAUCAUCUGUUCAUGGGUCUCAUGAUAUUCUGAGAGAUCUUAUUGACUUACUUCAUUAUGCAUUGCAUUUAUUUAUACAUGUAUAUUUACCCAUGGCCAGAUGGCGUUAUAUACGCGUAUAGUAUAUGUAUAUGAGGUAUGGGGAAAGGUUAUGGCGUUAUAUACGCACCACCAUCUGAUCAGCUGGUAUACGUUGAUGAUUUCUCCCACAGUGGCUGAGAUGAUAUGAUGGGAUGCCCUCAGUAGCUUGAUGAUGUUAUGUAUGUAUGUACCUAUGCAUGGUAUGGCAUUUAUAUGCACAUGCAUGACAUUAUAAAUUUUUCAUGAUUCACAGAGCUAUUCAAAAUUACAGGUUAAGUUCUUUACUCCAUGUUUCUUUCAUGUCUUUUAUAUACUUCUUUCAUGACUUACACACUCCGUACUUUAUUUGUACUGACGUCCCUUUUGCCUGGGGAUACUGCGCUUCAUGCCCGCAGGUCUCGAUAGACAGGUUGAGAGUCCUUCUAGUAGGCUAUUAGCUCAGCAGAAGGUGUUGGUGUACUCCACUUGCUCCGGAGUUACCUAUUUGGUCAGUGUGAUUUGGACAUGUAUUGAUUGGUUAGCGGGGCCCUUUCCCGGCCUUUAUGACGUUUAUGCACUCUUAGAGGUUUGUAGACAUAUCUCAUGUAUAUGGAUACUUAUAUGGCCUUGUCGACCUAUGUUUUGAGUGUACAAAUGAUCAAGUCGGCCUUAUAGGUCACUAUGUCACGUGUAUAAGUUUGUAUUCCAUGUUGGGUCAUCAUAUGUCGUGUAUUUUAUGUUUUAUUCUGGUUAUAUCAUGACCGCCCUUCUGGCCCAUUUACCCAUGAUGGUAUGAUAAGAAAGAUACGUUACGUUGGUGCUCGGUUAGGUAAGGCACCGAGUGCCCGUCGCGGCCCAUCGGUUAGGGUCGUGACAAAAGUGGUAUCAGAGAAGUUCUGUCCUAGGGAGUCUACAAACCGUGUCUAGUAGAGUCUUGUUUAUGGGUGUGUUGUGCACCACAAUUAUAAGUAGGAGGCUACAUGGUAUUUAGGACCGUCACUCUUUUUUCUUACUCUAGAUCAUGUGGUAGAGCUCAGUUGUAAGAAUUCAAACUCCUACAUUCUAUUUUAUUUGUAAUACAAUGAUAUCUACAUCUAGAAAGACAGUUGGUAAGAGAUUGAAUAUGGUUGUGGAAGAGUUGAAUAAGAAGAACUCGAUUUUGCAUCAUGCUUAUGAUGAGUAAAUGUAAGGUCUUCAGCAGAUCAUGUGUGUACUAAAAUGUGUAAGCUUCUUGAUAAGGAACCCUAAGGCAUGAAUAUCUAUCCUCCCCUAUGGUAAAAAGCAACGAGAGAAUCAGAAGGUAGAUACAAGUUUCAAUAAGUAAAAGAAGUAAGGUGAAGAAGGAUACGAGGUACCUAGUUAGUGAAGAUUAUCAGUAUUUACAAUUCAGGCAGAGAAAUAUAAGCAUUCUGAUUUAAUUUCAACAGUAACAGAGUAUAUACACUUGACAACACCCAUCUCAGUUAUGCCCUACGGGGUCUAACAGAUAUAGUUUAAGAGAAGAAUGGGAAAUAGUUCUCCUUGUGAGACACCCACAUGAUGCACUCUAGAGUAGUACAGUCAGAUAUGAAUACUAGAAUGUUCAGAAAUUUUAGAAGAUAGGCAGUGAAAUUCUAGAAGGGAUAAAUAUUUACCUUAAUAUGACUCCCGUCCCUAGUAAAAAAAGAGAGAAUAUUAGGCAUCCCAAAGAGCCAGUGAGAUGAAAAAAGGGGAGCUAAAAGUGAAAGAAUGUUUUGUUGAAGUUUUCAAAAUAAAGUGAUAGACAGAAAUAUUAGUCGGAGAAUAAGAAGAGAGUAAAUGAAGCAUUAUGAGUAAGACGUGAUAAACGGGUGAUACGGUAAAUCAAAAUAUGACAGAAUGACAGAGUGUAUAGUCAAGUUAAGGAAAAGACAAAAGGUGACAGGCCUUGAGACAAUAAAACUGUAUAAGCCAUAAAGUCAUACCCUCAUUUCGAGAAAUGAGUUGGUAACUCAAAAGUGAUCACCAGAAGGCUAAGUUAGACCCUCAGAGUAACAGAAAUCAGUAUGGGCUAGUGAACAAGAUAAAUUGAACAUGAAUUAGAGACCGGAGGAUUUGAUAAUAGUCGACAUCAUGACAAUUUCAGAGACCGCGUUCCGGCAAUAAUAGAAUGGACAAUAGAAGAAUAACUUUUAAAGGUCAUUCAGGAAGACGCUUCCCUAAAAUAAGCACUACGAGCAGAGUUAAGCUUAAUUGACUAAGUGUGCUAGUUAUGUGCGUAAGAAAUUCAGUUAUCCUUGGUACAAAAGGGUUACCGCAAGGCGAGUAAGAGUCUAUGAAGAUGUUAAAAGACGCCAAAGAUGAAGAGGUAAACCAUUUAUAGGUAAAUAUUCAUAGCAUUAAAUAUUAGUACUCCCCUAAAGAGGGGAAGAUGGUGUGAUAUAGUAUUAAGUCGGAGUUAUGUGGUUAAGGUAACUAUGGAAUAGUAAAGGAAAAAUGUGGUAGAAAGGAAAAAGGAAUGAGAUUGCAUUUAUUAAGAUCCUACAGAUAUGAUACGACUCCAGAACAUUAUGUAAGCAUGAUGCCGGGGAGAGGCAGUAAGGGUUCCAACAUUAGAUGUUAUUGAUAAAUAAGUGCAAAUGAACACUUGAUAUAUAAGGAGCCAGUGCGAGAGGUAAGUUCAAACAAAGGACAUAUCCCAAGGGAGAUUACGCGGAAUAUAGAUAUGAGAAUAGACCAACGAGUAGUUAGUAGUUGAUUUACUAAGAGUCUAGUUAUGGCUAGACAAGAGGAUAUGGAUAAAUCAGCAGAUUGUGCAAGAUAAACAGAGUGAAACCCAACAUAGGGAAUUCAGUCUCGCAAAUAUGAUGACAUCAUGAUCCUUGAGAAAUAUUCAGAUAGGAGUUGGGGUUGUUAAAGGUGUCGUAUAAGUGUUACAAAAAUAAAAGACGGUGCCACUGAGAAGACAGUCAAAAAUUUCAGUUCAGAAGCAACCCUACAAGUACGAGGGCGCAUAGGUAAGUAACUAAGGAUAAUUAUAGGCGAGUAAGAACAUAAAAAAUUCCUUCGGGUAUACGAUGUGAUAAGCUCGCAACUUUACAAGAGUCAAAGGGUCUCCCUUAGGUACUACAAAGAAAGACUAGCUGAGGACAUAAGGAAGAAGGCUUCAAAUUAAGCAUAAUAACAUAAAGAAGAAAUAGUCUUGUAACAACAGUCUCACUAUAACAUUGUAUGUACUCCAUAAGAAAGAGGCACCUAUCGUGGCUAAUGAACGGGAAGAAGAAAAAAAAUCAAAAGGUGAUAUUUGAGAUCAUAUGAGUUACAGAAAAUUUCAAUAUUCGUGGGCAAUGAGAUAUGCCAUGUAUUCAUGCAACAAGUGGCAAAAUGAACAGAAAAAAUAAUUGCUUAUGUUUAAAGGCAACUGAGAAGGCACGAAAGGAAAUCUAUGGUGCUAGCAAGUAAAAGGAAAGUUGCGAGUAGUAUGAAUAGAUAUGUGUAGGUCGCAAGCUAAAGUAUCGUAGAGCGACAAGGGUUUAGGUAGAUAGGAGUAAGGAUAAGUAAAGAUGAGUGAGAAUGUGACAAGAAUGGGUAAGGCCUCGGGAUUAAGCACAUCAAAAUAAGAGAGCUGAUGGUUUCCGUAAGUUAUAGAAAGCUCAGUAUAGCCUUAAUAAAUGCAAAGGAGUCUAAGACUAGUAGUAGUUAGAAGAGAUGGAAUGCUGCCUUGGUAGUAGAAUAAGGGUGUAAUGGUGAUAAAUAAUAGGAUGACGUUUAGGCCUUUGAUUGAGUAACAAUUUUGAGAAAAUGGAUUUCAUGAUUUGCACGGGAUUAGAACCCAUAUGAUGAAUUACAUUGGGAUGCUAUGAAAUACGGUUAUUGAAGUAUAGUAUCGUCCCUAGGUGGAUCAGGCAAAUUACUUCAAAUGUUCUCCGAUGAGAUGUGAGCAUUAGUGAUAAUGUAUUAUGUAAGAAGUUUCAAGUUAUCAGUGGUAGAUUAUGGAUCAACAUUAAGGUGAAUCAACAAUGAAUGGAUAAAAGUUACAAAGUAUGAGAUGAGAUUAGGCUGUCAUUCUUAAGAUGAACAGUGAUGAGGAAGAACUAAAGGACUUAGAUUUAUACAUAUAGGAUAAGCAGCGAGAGAGUAACCCGGAGAUGGGUAGCAGACCUAGGUAGUAAUAAAUCGAAGUAAGUGUUAUGGUAUAAUAUAACCUAACUAGAUGUAGUAAAGCCAUAAGCAUAUAUAACCGAGUCUAUGAAACGAAAUAUAGCAAUAGUUAUAAGUUCGGCAAAGUACCAAGCAAAGAACUUCAGUACGCCUAUAUAUGCCCCGAGGGACAUCUUGUCAUAAUUCUGUAUAUGUUCACAAAGUGAGGCCAAGAGAUUGGCAAAAAUUAGGAGGAAAAAGGAGAGAAGAUCCACGCAUAAAAGGACAGAGUCAUACAUGCUUCAUCACAGAAUGUAGUUAAAGUUACGAGAUUGGAAGAAUUCCGACCACAAGUCGUGAUGUGGGAAGAGGCCUAAAAGGGGGAAUGCCUUGGUCUUUGAAUUUAUUCACAGAACAAUUGCCUAGAUGGUAAGGACAAUAUUAAAUUAUUCACAAGAUCUAUAGGUUAUGAUACUGAUAAGCACAUCAGUCAACAUUCGAGGACGAAUGUUCCAAAGGGGGGAAUGAUGUUACACCCCAUAUUUUUGUACGUGAAAGUACGACGUAAGUCAAUUGAUGUAAGCUCGAAAAUGAGAUCCGCUUUGAAAGUAUAUGAAGUGAUUUAAUGUUGUUACACCCCAUAUUUCAGACGUCACUGUCAUUAUAGGAUUAUCUAAUGUAAGCUCAAAAAGGACGAAAUCCUUCUACAAGAAUAAGAAAGGUUUACCAAAGUCUUAAGUAAGUUAAGAUGAAUAAGAGACCUGUUAAUCACAAUUUAAAUAAUUUUAAAGUCAUAAUAUGACUAUAUAUGAUGUUUAUAUAUAAAAUAUAAAGUUUGGAAAAAAUCGGAUUUAAGUUGCGGAAAAAUCGAGCUAAGAUUUGCCUUGUCACGAGCCGUUUUGAGAAAUUAAAUUUGUAAGCUUUAUGAUGUCAUUUUGAGAAAUAUAUCAUAUCAAAAUGAAGCUAUUUGAACCUAGUUUCCAAUGGUCGAAACCAUUUAUUCAUACGAUAUCGGGGUAGAUAAAUAUAGAUUUUUAAAGUAGGGUCGCCAAGUCACGUCGUCGCACUUCGGAGAAACUGGCAGGUUUAUAAGCCAGGUUGCGAGGCAGUUUUCUCCAAAUAUAUUGAGAGUUAUAGGGAUAUCUUUAUAGGUAAUUAAAGCCCCAUUUAUCUAGUUGCUAACACUGCAAACCGUUCAUCAAUACGACAUCGGUGUAGAGAUAUAUUUGCGUUUUUGCGAGACUGCGUAGGAUGCCUCUAUGGGACCCACUUGGUCGGGGCCCGACCUUCACUUAUUCUUAUCUCAUUUUUGGAAUGAGAUUUGAUCAUUUUUUUCCUACUUCCAGCCUCACACUCUCCAAACCCUCGCAAAUAGUUCCCCAAAGGCUCCAAAUAAAUUUCAAAGAAAUAUACGAUAGUCAAAUAUCAAAGUUAGCCUAAGUGAAGAAGAUAGUCUCUAUGGUGUUGUGAUGUGAUUAAGGAUGCUUGUAAUCUAAGGGGAGAUUUGGUUCAAGGUUUUCUAGAUUAUUUAAGUUAUCUAUAACACCCUAUUUCUCGGGAUUAAUCUUAUCUAUGUGUUGGUUAAGUUCUUUGGAUGAAGAUUACAAGAUAACACUUAAAAGGGGAAGAGAUGUUGUUAUCUUUUGUUGGGUUGUUUUAAGGCUAUAUAUAUAGGUUGUUAUGGAUGGAAAAUGGUGAAAAUAACUUUAUUAUGAUAUGGUUUCUGUUGUUAUACAUGUAUAUAUAUUGAACAAGUGAAUUGAUAAAAGAAACAUAUGAAACUUGAGAUUUCAAGUGAAGAUUAGCUUAAGUCACUUCUAUGGUGUUGUAUUGACAUUGAGGGAUGUUAUAAGAGAAAUGUAACUUGGAUUUCAACUUGAAGCUAUUGUAGGAGGUAUUUAUAUUGUGUUCUUGUAUGUGCUUAAGGUUAUCUUGACAUUUAUUAAGUUAAAUGCAUGGACUAGACAUGAACUAGUGAAUAAAGUUGCUAAUUGAGGAUAAUUAGAGUUGUGGAUUAUUUUUUUGUUAUAACUAUGUGGUAUAAGGCUGGAAUCAUUGAUGAAUGAAUUCAUUAUCAUGUUAAUGAUACUAUUAAGUUAAAUUAAGAAGUCUAUAAGGGGUGAUAUGGGGUAUACAGAUUCCAAUAGGAGCUUACCGCUCAUCGUGAAGUAGUUGUGGCUUGUUGUCGUUAUAUGGUGUCUUGUUAUUGAUAAUUAUAUAUUGCUAGAUUACUCUGGUCAUUGUUGUUGGUAUAUAGUAUUGGAUUAGGCUCUUGUUACAGGGGAGAUGCUGCCCAAAUAUAUAUAAACAAGCUACUAGUUUAAGUUACGGACUUAGCCUUUACUCAACACUGAUUUUGAAUCUCAUUAUGCUAUGGUAGAUUGAGUUGAGUUGUUUGAAGAAUUGUUGAUUUAAGGUAUGUUAAGGCUAUCAAUUCUUUCCUUUUGGCAUGAUCCACAUGAUACGACGAAAUGAGCAAGCACGCAACUUUCACAAAUGAUUAUAUUCCUAGAAGUACUAGCGUUGCCUAUGUUNNNNNNNNNNNNNNNNNNNNNNNNNNNNNNNNNNNNNNNNNNNNNNNNNNNNNNNNNNNNNNNNNNNNNNNNNNNNNNNNNNNNNNNNNNNNNNNNNNNNNNNNNNNNNNNNNNNNNNNNNNNNNNNNNNNNNNNNNNNNNNNNNNNNNNNNNNNNNNNNNNNNNNNNNNNNNNNNNNNNNNNNNNNNNNNNNNNNNNNNNNNNNNGCGUUAUAUACGCGUAUAGUAUAUGUAUAUGAGGUAUGGGGAAAGGUUAUGGCGUUAUAUAUGCACCACCACCUGAUCAGCUGGUAUAUGUUGAUGAUUUCUCCCACAGUGGCUGAGAUGAUAUGAUGGGAUGCCCUUAUAGUCUUGAUGAUAUUAUGUACGCAUAUACUUAUGCACGAUAUGACAUAUAUGCGCACAUGCAUGACAUUAUAAAAUUUUCAUGAUUCACAGAGCUAUUCAGAAUUAUAGGUUGAGUGCUUUACUCCAUGUUUCUUUCAUGUCUUUUAUAUACUGCUUUCAUGCCUUACAUGCUCGAUACUUUAUUUGUACUGACGUCCCUUUUGCCUGGGGAUACUGCGUUUCAUGCUCGCAGGUCCCGAUAGACAGGUUGAGAGUCUUUAUAGUAGGUUAUCAGCUCAGCGGAAGGUGUUGGUAUACUCCACUUGCUCUGGAGUUACCUAUUUGGUCAGUAUGAUUUGGACAUGUAUUGAUUGGUAUGGCGGGGCCCUGUCCCGACCUUUAUGAUAUUUAUACACUCUUAGAGGCUGGUAGACAUAUCUCAUGUAUAUGGAUACUUGUAUGGCCUUUUCGGCCUAUGUUUUGAUUGUAAAAAUGAUCAAGUCGGUCUUAUAGGCCCGUAUGUCAUAUGUAUAAGUUUGUAUUCCAUGUUGGGUCGUCCUAUGUGGAGUAUCCCCUUAUAUUUUAUUCUGGUUAUAUCAUGACGGCCCUUCUAGACCAUUUACCCAUGAUGGUAUGAUAAGAAAGAUAUGUUACGUUGGUGCUCGGUUAGGUAAGGCACCGGGUGCCCGUCGUGGCCUAUCGGUUUAGGUCGUGACCAUUACACCUUAGUCGUGCUUAGCAUUUUGUAGCGCAUGGUGCUAUCUGUCUCCCCAGAGUUGUGUUUAUGCAUUUGGCAUAAUUGUGGUCAAUAUUCGGGCAUUUCAUGGGUAUGAGCAUUUUGGCUCAAUGGGUAUUACCUUAUUGAUUAUUAUGUGCGGAUCGGGUGGCACGUCGCCACGGGUAUGAUGUGUAGAUUGGGUUGCAUGCUGCAACAGUGAGAUGUUGAGUACAAAUCUUUAUACUUAUUUUGUGUGUUUUGUUUUUCAUCUCUGAGAUAGGUUCAUAGCAUUAGUUUGGUUGUUUUUCUUCAUUGCGCAGACCGGAUAGUCUUGUAUUCGGGUUCAUUAUUCCUUAUUGGUCAUAUUCGAGUUGUGUCUUUUUGGCUCCUUUAUGGGGUCGUAUGAGAUUUUAGACGGUGUUUGAGGUGGCUUAUUGCUCGAGCAGCUUGUAUUGGGCGAGACAAGGUUGUUGGACCUGGAAUUAGUGCAAUCAGAUUUGUAUAAUGUAUAUUAGAGGGAAAAUGUCACUAAUCAGUUCAGAAUGAGGCAAUAUUUCUCGCCAAGCAGAGAGACUUUAUGAGUUAUUGAUUUUGCAGAUGGGUAUGAGUUUCUACACAUCUCUUUCUUUUUUGCAGUAUUGUGAGGGUUGGAACAUGGCUUAUAUGCGCUAUGAGGUAUAUUAUGGGCAUCAGGUUCAUGAAUUUGCAGCUAUUGUGGUUGGAGGAUGUUAUUAUGAGCAUACGAAUUAUGGGGUGCAUUGCGCGAAUUCAGCAUGGGUGCAUGAUCAUAUUUUGGUGCAGCGUGUUGAGAUUGAUACGGCGUGCAUAUUUUAGAAUUAGGCCUGUUAGAGAAUUUAGGAUGUUGGAAUUUUGUUCUAAGGCUAGUGGGCUAAGAUAGCAGGAAGGAUCUUCAGUCUGGCUUGAGUUAAUGUGCUCAUAUGGAUUAUGGCAGCACGGGUAGGUGCACGAGGUGUUAAGCAGUGAUUUUGAGCAACUCUGGAACGGUUCUUGGCACGUUCGAGGACGAACGUAUGUUUAAGUUGGGGAGAAUGUAACGACCCGACCAAUCAUUUUGAUAUCUAGUAUGUUAUUCGGCGGUUUGAGACCUUGAGUAGCUUCACUUCAUGUUUUAUGACUUGUACGCGUAGUUGGAAUUGAAUUUCGGGAAAGUUCGGAGUUGAUUCAAAAGGAAAAUUCUCAAUUCGCAAGUUUUAAGUUGGAAGAGUUGACCAAGGUUUGACUUUUGAGUAAACAACCUCGAAAUUGGGAUUUGAAGGUUCCAAUAGGUUCGUAUGAUAAUUUCGGACUUGGACGUAUGUUCGGGUUGAGUAUCAGGUGGUCAGGGAGCAUUUCAGUGCUUAUUGUAGAAAGUUUGGCAUUUUGAUAGUUUUUAGAAUUUCCUAAGUUUGGUUUGAAGAGGACUUUGGUGUUAUCGAGGUCCGUUUAGGGUUCCGAGCCUUGGAAUAAGUUCGUAUUAUGAUUUGUGACUUGCACGUAAAGCUUGGCAUCAUUCCGGAAUGUCUAGAUAUGGUUCAGACGCGUUCGUCGAAGUUUGAAUGUUUUAAAGUUGAGAGAAUGAUUUUAUCGUCGAUUCAUAGUUUUGAGGGUUUUUUUACGUGAUUUGAGGCUUUGACUGAGUUUGUAUCAUAUUUUAGGAUGCGUUGGUAUGGUUGAGUGGGGUCCCGAAAGCCUCGGGUAUUUUUCGGACGUGUUUGGGUUGUGUCGCGCUCUUAUUUGAUGUUUUAGCGUCGUUUCUUUGGGCAUAAAGGGUACUGUAUUAAGCAAACGACAUUUGAUUUAGGAUUAGAUUAAACCAUUAGAUCCGUAUCGUAAUUACGGAACCAUAGCAACAAGAAUCGUCAAAUUCCAAGGUCGGAUGAGAGAGUUAUGCCCAUUUCUGUGUCGGAAAAGAUUGUUGGUUUCGGGUGCGAACUUUUGUUCUUCGCGAACGCGAGAGAGGUUCCGCGAACGCGAAGAUGAAUUUCUGGGUUGACCGGUCAACGAAAAAAAUUGCUCUUAGAGAAACACGAAGGUCUCCCGCAAAGGCGAUUAACAAAAAUCAUCUCAGCAGUAUUUUAAACCGAGCAUUUUAGUAUUUUGAGCAUAUCUUGAGUUUUAGAGCUCCGUUUGAGGUGAUUUUUGUGGCGUUGUUCUCAUAUCAAUAAGAGGGUAAAUAUCUGACCUUUAUUUUGAUUUUUUUUCCAUGAUUAUUUUCGUUGAUUAGUAUUUUUAUCUGUUUUGGAUGGUAGAAAUUGAGGAUUGAGCCGCAAAGUUGAGAAAUAGUAAAUCCUUGAUUUGAGGGUCAAUUCGUGGAUGAAAUUAGAUAAUUUUUUUGGAUAUAUACUCUAUAAGUUAAGGAUAAUAUUUAUUUUUGAUAAGUUUUGGAAUCCGGGCACGGGCAUUGACCUUGUUGACUUUUCACGCGGAGUUGAGAAUUAUUACAAAUUGUUAAAUUAUGAGUAUUGCAGUAUAUUUUGAUUGGUUUGCACGUUGUUUGAUUAGUUUCGGAUCGUUUGGCAUCGGUUUGAAGAGUUAGAGAAGCGUUGGAGUUAGUUAUCGGAUUUCAGAGUGAGGUAAGUCUCCUGUCUAACCUUGUAAGGGGGAAUUUACCCCGUAGGUGUUAUACUUGCUAUGUUCUACAUAUUGUGGGGGCUACACACGUAUGAAGUGACGACUGUCCGUGCGUAUACUGGAAUUCAUGAUUAGGUUCGGGUAAACUUAGAUUUACGCCAUGCUUUAAUUAUAAUAUUUGAGUUAUUUCUGCAUGUUUAAUUGCUUUAAUUUACAUUUAGCCUGAGUCUCGCGUAGAAUAUCGGACUUGCUAUUUUAGAUACUUGACGAGCUACUUGAUUAGCCGUGAAAAAUUGUGCUUCCCUUACGAAUUUCAUCCGCGUUGUGCGUAUUGAACAAAAAGUUUCCUUAAAUUUCAUAACUCAUGUGUAUAUUCGUGAGUGGGGUCAAGGACCCGUUAAAGCUUCUUAUUCUAAUGGGGUCGGGUCGUUCGCCUCGGCAGGAUUAUUGUAAUACACUCUUAUGGGAUCGGGUCGUUCACCUCAGCAGGAUUAUGGUAUUUCACUCUUAUGGAAUUGGGUCGUUCACCUCGGCAGGAUAUUGUAACACACUCUUAUGGGAUCGGGUCGUUCGCCUCGGCAGUUCUAUGAAAUACUCCUAUGGGAUCGGGCCGCUCGCCUCGGUAGAAUCGUGCGAAAUACUUGAUAAAGAGUCCGGGUACUCAUGAGUUUUCCUGACUUGAGAUGGGACCGUUGACUUGGUGUUGACCAUUAUGUAUUCUAUUUGAGGAGGUAUCUGAUGUUUGAGGACUUUGUGUUCACUGUUCAGUCGUAGACCGUAUUAUUUACCUAUAUAUGUUCUUACUGUUUACUUACCAUGUUUCAUACUUAUCUACUUUACUAUAUUUGACUUAUUGGACCACUAGUAAGUGUUAAUAUCGACCCCUCGUCACUACUUCUUCGGGGUUAGGCUAGAUACUUACUGGGUACGCGUUGAUUUUCGUACUCAUGCUACACUUCUGCACUAAAUGUGCAGUAUUUGACAGGUUCAUUUGGUGGUCAUCUUGGCGCGUAGGCGCAAUUGCUGAGGGAACUUAAUGGUGAGCUGCUUUCUAUGCUACGUACCUCAGGCCACAGAGCCUCCAUCAUAUUUAUUUACUUUAUCAUGUCUAUUUUACAUUCCAAACAGAUGUUGUACUAUUAUUGCACUCCUUAGAAGACGCUCAUGUACUUUUGACACCGGGUUUUGGGAUAUUCUAGUUGAUGUUUAUCGAUUUGCAUAAUAUUGUCAUCUUUUAUUUUCAUAUCUUGCUAACUAUGUAUGUACCUAUGAUUUUCAAUGUGUAAAUCCCUUUUACUUAAUAAAACCUAUGAUUUCAAAGUAAUAAAAUAAAUAAUUAUUUAGAUGGUUCACCGUUGACUUGUUUAACGGCGACAUUGGGUGCCAUCACGAUCUAUAGGGGGUUUUGGGUCGUGACAUAAACUAUCAUUACUAUGCUGUACAAGAGUAAAUGACAUUACAAGUAGCGCAUGCAUAGACAACAUCACUAUCUUUUUUUUUUCUUUUGGUUUCUCAUACCGUGGUCAAUGACCGGUACUGAGGUCCGAUUAAUUUGAAUUUAUAUCGCAUAAGAUCCAUUAAAUGGGGAGGUGCUUCGUACCUGAAGUUCUUCCCAUUAAUAUACACACAGAAUAGGUUUAUACAUGUUGUCAUAACAAAAUAGCGGUUGUAGAAAUAAUCUAAGUCCACUAAAUUAAAAUUUUGAAUUUUGCCUCCCACAAGAAAAAUGAUACCUUAAUCAUGAAGCUAUAUAUUUACAACCAUUGUACUCUUUGAAAUGACCCACCAACAAGAAUAUUAAUGAAAAAAAGCUGGCUUUGACAGUUCCCACAAUCGCAUGAUAUUGGCAUAUACUGUGGAUUUUCCUAUGUCAUGUCUCUGCUGUCUAUUUAGCCAAUGGUGCAAAGUGCAGUGGUAUAACAAGUUGUUCGAUUUUUGUUGGAACUUAAUUUAUCAACACGAUCACUAAAGAUUGUGGUGGUAUGUACAUUACUCAUCUAUGCUUAAUAAGAGAUUUCCAUUUCGAGCUUGCAAAAUUUAAAAAAAAAAAAAAACUUAAGUGGAAGCACUUCUUCCUUUAAAAUUUUUUACUCAACCCGAAUUCGAAUUAAUCGGAGUAUAAUGCAAUAAAAAAGAAUUUAUGGACACGGAAGAAUUUAGCAGGUACUAAAAGUGCAUUUAUUAUGAGCACCAACACAAUACAGCUAUAUUUUCUUCAGUUGUAAGGCACUUGGCAUGUGAUCUACCUGACCAUUAUCUGCCAUAUUCAUUCUACUAAUGCCUACACCUACUGCUAUUCGAUCUUUUCCUUCUUUAAUUGUUUUAGCUGCAGAGUACGAAUUUAGCUGGCUUUUUUUCUUUGAAGAUUAAACAAGAAAAACUUGGUACUAGUAUGUAGGUUGUUGUGUAUUGAAUGGUUGGUUUAAAUACCAUCUCCUCUUUCUUAUUAUUUUGGAUGUUAGUAUCUUUCUGGUUUAGAUCAGCAGUAAAUUACCUUGCUCGAACUAGCCGGCCAAUUAUAACACAGUGAUAUUUGCAGUUCCCAGCUCAGACUGGCAGUUGAAGUAUUUAUACCCACGAAAUAAUAUCGUUUACCAAGGGAAAAAAGCCAAUGAAAAAGCAUAAAAAGGAAAAAAGAACAAUUUUAUAACAUAAACAGAGAGAAACAUAGAUCCAAUAAUACUAUUUCUCAAAUAUAUUUACAAUAGUAGCUGUUAGUACAUUUUUCUUCCUAAAAUAAUAAUGGUAGCUUAAAUCAUCAUCUAACAAAUUAAAUAAUAAAUCCGAAGACAAAAAAGAAUAAUUAAGAAGAAAAAUGAAAGAAAUCUAGUUCAAAAAUUACUCAUCCAGCCUGUUGAGAAGAAGCUGCAAUACACACUAUAUUUUAGUAACAUGGACUUCGGCCUGAUUCAACUCCAAAAACUAUCGUAUGAGCUGCUGAUAAUUGUCCAAAACCAUAUAAUAAUGUUACGUUUCAUUCUCUUAACCAAUGUGAGACUCAAACACGAUAUUAAUUUCAUCGGUAAGAGCGGAGAAUGGCACCGCAGAAUGUACAGAUAAUAGCUUUCCAGUUUUUCCAGUAAAAAGGUACAUAGCAAAACCUAGUAGCAGUUUUCAUAUCAGCAACACUUGCUCCACCACCGCACCGGGAACAUGUUCCGGCCGCUGGUUUGCUCUUACACACCUGCUUUGUUUGAUCAACUAAGAAACAGAAGCAAACCAUUUUUUUGUCGCUUAUAUUGAUGUUUAGAACGGAGAGAAAUUCAGUGGGGUAUUUGGGGUAGUUAGAUGUUUUGGUUGUGAGGUUUCAUUACUGGGAAAAGUUGAAGGUAUUUAUAGGCGUGAAACUGAGAAGUAACAGUAAAAGUUUAAGCAGAGACAGUUGGGACCUCACUAUGGCGCAUUGCUGACUUUUCACAGAAGCAAUAAGGAUAAUCAUUUUUUAAUCUUUGGUCAAC